AUGCACGCUGGCGGCGUGCCUAAUACCUGCAAGUCGAGCGAACAGACGAGGAGCUUGCUCCUCUGACGUUAGCGGCGGACGGGUGAGUAACACGUGGAUAACCUACCUAUAAGGCUGGGAUAACUUCGGGAAACCGGAGCUAAUACCGGAUAAUAUAUUGAACCGCAUGGUUCAAUAGUGAAAGACGGUUUUGCUGUCACUUAUAGAUGGAUCCGCGCCGCAUUAGCUAGUUGGUAAGGUAACGGCUUACCAAGGCAACGAUGCGUAGCCGACCUGAGAGGGUGAUCGGCCACACUGGAACUGAGACACGGUCCAGACUCCUACGGGAGGCAGCAGUAGGGAAUCUUCCGCAAUGGGCGAAAGCCUGACGGAGCAACGCCGCGUGAGUGAUGAAGGUCUUCGGAUCGUAAAACUCUGUUAUUAGGGAAGAACAAAUGUGUAAGUAACUAUGCACGUCUUGACGGUACCUAAUCAGAAAGCCACGGCUAACUACGUG
RNAcentral lists this ribosomal RNA (496 nucleotides) under uncultured bacterium. RNAcentral describes it as "partial 16S ribosomal RNA". It matches the Rfam family "Bacterial small subunit ribosomal RNA", at positions 29 to 507 of the family's 1533-position model. The record is from RNAcentral.